RNAcentral lists this ribosomal RNA (336 nucleotides) under uncultured Bacillota bacterium. Its description in RNAcentral is "bacterial SSU rRNA". It matches the Rfam family "Bacterial small subunit ribosomal RNA", at positions 28 to 351 of the family's 1533-position model. The record is from RNAcentral. Lineage: Bacteria; Bacillati; Bacillota.
GACGAACGCUGGCGGCGUGCCUAAUACAUGCAAGUCGAGCGAACAGAUGAGGAGCUUGCUUCUCUGAUGUUAGCGGCGGACGGGUGAGUAACACGUGGGCAACCUGCCCUAUAGUUUGGGAUAACUCACGGAAACGUGAGCUAAUACCGAAUAAUACAUUUCAUCUCCUGAUGGAAUGUUGAAAGAUGGUUUACGCUAUCGCUAUAGGAUGGGCCCGCGGCGCAUUAGCUAGUAGGUGAGGUAAUGGCUCACCUAGGCAACGAUGCGUAGCCGACCUGAGAGGGUGAUCGGCCACACUGGGACUGGAGACACGGCCCAGACUCCUACGGGAGGCUG